This 2472-nucleotide small RNA is filed under the name Pongo abelii (Sumatran orangutan). Its description in RNAcentral is "retained intron". Lineage: Eukaryota; Metazoa; Chordata; Mammalia; Primates; Hominidae. The record is from RNAcentral.
AUUCUUUAUCCGGUAUUUCAAGGGCCGCCGGAGGGCUGUCGCUUCUGCAGUGCUUAGGAGCGGCCAGGGCGGGAGGCUCCGCGGAGCCGAGGCGCGGAGAAUAAGAAAGCCUGAGUUUUGUGAAAAACCAGAGAAGAGAAACUAAAAGGACAGUAGAAAAGGUUUUUCCAGUUUGCAUAAUGUAAGUUCUUUUCACUUUUCUUGGCUUGAAUCCUGCGUUAGCUGACAAAGCUGUUUCUAUGGAAACAAACAGUUUAACCUCUUAGAAUGUCAGAGGAAUGCUGAUCACUUAAAAUGAGACUUCCCAGCUGCUGGUCAAAGGGCAUUACUUGCUGGAGAAAGAGGGCAAGGAUGAAUUCAAAAAAUUCUAGAGUUCUGGACACUAGUGUAGACUGAACAUGUUUAUGCAUAUGAAGUAUAUCUCUUCUAUUUUACUCUGCCUAAAAAUUAAGAUUCUGGUAAUAUAGGAAAUUGGAUUUCUGCUGACCUGUCUUGAUUCUCAGCUCUUAAACAAACGAUUCUAUUAGUUGGUACCCUUUUCAGGGGGCCUGUACCCUUUAGGCUAUUUCAGUCCCUCCAGUCUCAAUCAUUUGCACUUGUUGUGAAGCUUAUUUAGCUUCCCAUUGCCCCCUUCUCCCGCAACCAAAACCCCUUCUCCCUUACUAGUUUGAGGUUAGCAUUGAAACAGCUUCGGCAUGCCAGCCUGAAAAUUUUUCUUGCUUUGUGGACUAUGUAAAGAUUUUUGUAUUUGUGUUCGUUUUCUGGCAGGGAUGGGAACAGGGAUUCUGAUGAGGAUUUGAAAUGUAGUCCUUUGAAGCUUUCUUUCUUUCUUAUUUUUUUUUUAAACUUAUAACUGGAAAGUUGAGAAGAAAAGAAUUAGGGCCAGUAACUGGUAACUCUGCUGUCUUCAUAAGAUGGCCUGUUAUUUACACACAAUGAGGUAAUUCUCUAGUUCAGUCAUUUACCAGCUUCUGAAUUGUCAAAGGACUUUUUUUUUUUUUUUUUUUAAAGAGAGGGAGAGUGCAAUUGCUUUGGACUGGGAGGACUUUUUCACUUUUAUGAUGUGUAUAGACUACAUGUAUGGGCUAGAGUAUUUGUGGAGUGCCUGCUUAAAAAUUAUAAUCUUAAUGCUAAAACUAUAGGAUACAGUAUAAUGUUUCUUUAAUUCUGGAAGAACUUUAGGAUCUUUCAUUGCCUUCAUUAAAUUAACUUAUGAGCAUUAUAGAGUUUUUGGAGUGUUAAAUGGUGAAGUAAUUAUUUAACAGGGUAGUCUGGAAAGAUUUCUUGUAGAAUUAGGGACUUGAGGGAGGUCUUGAAGGUAGAAAUCAAUGGAAAAGUAGUUCAUCAGUCAUUUGGGCAGAAAGAUGGGAUAGACACAAAUGACGAAGGUAAAUUAGAAGGCUCAUGCAGGUGAGUAGUAAAAGAUAUAGCUAGAAAUCUUGGAUUCAUUUUUUGAGUUUGAACUUUAUUCUCCAGAUAGUGUGAAAGCCAUCAGAAGUUCUGAACAGAGGAGUGGUUUGCUCAUAUACUUAAUUAAGCAAACACUUAGCGGGUAUCACGGCUAUAGAGGUCAACAAGACAGAUCCCUGCCAAUUAGAUAAUUUACCUGUGUGAUUUACAGUUACCUUGAAAUUAAUGUGUCUAAACCCAUAUUUCCCUUUACUUUACUUCUAUCUGAUUCUCCUAUAUUCUCCGUCAUAAUUAGUGACAUUGUCAUCUACCUAAUAAGCCAGGGAUAGUGGUUAAGAGUGAUGGUUCUGGAGUUACACUGCCUAGGUUCAUAUUCUGAAGCCUUCUGUUGUUUGGCCUUCUGCUGGGCAAUGUUACGGAUUCAGAGAUGGGUCAGCCUGGUUCCUGACUUCAAGGAGCUUCUAGUCUGAUGAGAUAGAAAGGCAGAGAUAUAAAUAGCAGUAGUCCAACUUGAUCAAGAAUGUGACAGGGAUUAUAGGAUUCCAGAGGACAAUGUAUUUGAGCUCAGACUUAAAAGGCAAAGAUUAGAUCCUAGGCAGUCUGAUUCUGGAGGCUGUUCUCUUAAACAUGCUGUCUUGGGCGACUGGAUGGAUGUAGUGACAUUAGUUAGAAUUGAAAAUGGGGAGAGGAUUAAAGAGAAUAGGAGGAGAUUAAAGGGAAAUAUGAGUUUAAUUUUGGACAUAUUUCUAGAUUCUUGUGGGAAAAAGAAAUUCUGAUAGAUAGAAUAAUGGUCAGCCGGGCACAGUGGCUCACGCCUGUAAUCCCAGCACUUUGGGAGGCCGAGGCUGGCGGAUCACGAGGUCAGGAGUUUGAGACCAGCCUGGCCAACAUGGUGAAGCCCCGUCUCUACUAAAAAUACAAAAAUUAGCUGGGCAUGGUGGUGGGUACCUGUAAUCUCAGCUACUCAGGAGGCUGAGGCAGGAGAAUUGUUUGAACCUGGGAGGUGGAGUUUGCAGUGAGCCAGGAUCGUACCAUUGCACUCAAACUGGAUGACAGAGUCUC